This 376-nucleotide ribosomal RNA is filed under the name uncultured organism. Its description in RNAcentral is "partial 16S ribosomal RNA". It matches the Rfam family "Bacterial small subunit ribosomal RNA", at positions 527 to 897 of the family's 1533-position model. The record is from RNAcentral.
GUAGGUGGCAAGCGUUGUCCGGGAAUUAUUGGGGCGUAAAGCGCGCGCAGGCGGUUCUUUAAGUCUGAUGUGAAAGCCCACGGGCUCAACCGUGGAGGGUCAUUGGAAACUGGAGAACUUGAGUACAGAAGAGGAAAGCGGAAUUCCACGCGUAGCGGUGAAAUGCGUAGAGAUGUGGAGGAACACCAGUGGCGAAGGCGGCUUUCUGGUCUGUAACUGACGCUGAGGCGCGAAAGCGUGGGGAGCAAACAGGAUUAGAUACCCUGGUAGUCCACGCCGUAAACGAUGAGUGCUAAGUGUUAGGGGGUUUCCGCCCCUUGGUGCUGCAGCUAACGCAUUAAGCACUCCGCCUGGGGAGUACGGCCGCAAAGGCUGA